GACGAACGCUGGCGGCGUGCUUAACACAUGCAAGUCGAACGCUCUCGACCUUCGGGUCACAUGAGAGAGUGGCGAACGGGUGAGUAACACGUGAGAAACCUGCCCCAAAGUCGGGAAUAACUCGAGGAAACUCGUGCUAAUACCGGAUGCCCUCUAAGAACCUAGUGGUUCAUUGAGGAAAGAUUUAUCGCUUUGGGAGGGUCUCGCGGCCUAUCAGCUUGUUGGUGAGGUAACGGCUCACCAAGGCUCUGACGGGUAGCUAGUCUGAGAGGACGAAUAGCCACACUGGAACUGAGACACGGUCCAGACUCCUACGGGAGGCAGCAGUGGGGAAUCUUGCACAAUGGGCGAAAGCCUGAUGCAGCGACGCCGCGUGGGGGAUGAAGGCCUUAGGGUCGUAAACCCCUUUCAGUAGGGACGAAAUUGACGGUACCUACAGAAGAAGCCCCGGCCAACUACG
This 460-nucleotide ribosomal RNA is filed under the name uncultured Acidimicrobiales bacterium. Its description in RNAcentral is "bacterial SSU rRNA". It matches the Rfam family "Bacterial small subunit ribosomal RNA", at positions 28 to 505 of the family's 1533-position model. The record is from RNAcentral. Lineage: Bacteria; Bacillati; Actinomycetota; Acidimicrobiia; Acidimicrobiales.